CACCCCGUAAACGUUGGGAACUAGUUGUGGGGACCAUUCCACGGUUUCCGUGACGCAGCUAACGCAUUAAGUUCCCCGCCUGGGGAGUACGGCCGCAAGGCUAAAACUCAAAGGAAUUGACGGGGACCCGCACAAGCGGCGGAGCAUGCGGAUUAAUUCGAUGCAACGCGAAGAACCUUACCAAGGCUUGACAUAUAGAGGAAACGUGCAGAAAUGUACGCCCCGCAAGGUCUCUAUACAGGUGG
RNAcentral lists this ribosomal RNA (245 nucleotides) under uncultured Microcella sp. RNAcentral's name for it is "partial 16S ribosomal RNA". It matches the Rfam family "Bacterial small subunit ribosomal RNA", at positions 796 to 1041 of the family's 1533-position model. The record is from RNAcentral. Lineage: Bacteria; Bacillati; Actinomycetota; Actinomycetes; Micrococcales; Microbacteriaceae.